AUUUCUGGAGUUGAAAAAUUAGGAGUUAGGCAAAAAAGUGUGAAAGAGUUAAAUUUUUGUAGUUUAUUUUUAAACUUUAACACAAUUUUGUGUUAUGGGAUACUCCCUGCUGUGUUGUAUUUUGGAGUUCAUUCGCUGGUGUUCAGGAACGUGCUUUAACUUCUUACUGGAGUUACAUUUUUUGAAAGUCCACCAUUACACAACUCUGCAGAGCAGCACAUGAGAACUGGAGUUAUGUUCUUCGUUGGGAGAAGCGGUACUUGAUCAGAUGGAGAAACCUGCUGCACUUUUCAAAUAGGCUAACUUACACAAUGAGUCACAAUGCUGAUAAAAGUGCAAUUUGGAGGCAAGACAAAAUAUAUUAAACUGGAAAAAGAUUGUUUCUUGGAUUUUCUCA
Long non-coding RNA from Danio aesculapii, 397 nucleotides. RefSeq lists it as uncharacterized. The record is from RefSeq and is a predicted model, not a curated record. Lineage: Eukaryota; Metazoa; Chordata; Actinopteri; Cypriniformes; Danionidae. The transcript is spliced from 3 exons.